AAGAUUGGCCGAAAGGCCUUAUCAUUAUAUCCCUCACCUCUGUGAACUGUGGACCCUCGGGUCUAUUUUACAAACAUCAGUGUAAUGAACGUAUAUAACAUUAACAAAACA
RNAcentral lists this unclassified non-coding RNA (111 nucleotides) under uncultured Cryptococcus. Its description in RNAcentral is "sequence contains ITS1". Lineage: Eukaryota; Fungi; Basidiomycota; Tremellomycetes. The record is from RNAcentral.